GUGGGGAAUAUUGGGCAAUGGGCGAAAGCCUGACCCAGCAACGCCGCGUGAAGGAAGAAGGCCUUCGGGUUGUAAACUUCUUUUAUGAGGGACGAAGGAAGUGACUGUACCUCAUGAAUAAGCCACGGCUAACUACGUGCCAGCAGCCGCGGUAAUACGUAGGUGGCAAGCGUUGUCCGGAUUUACUGGGUGUAAAGGGCGCGUAGGCGGACGGGAAAGUCAGAUGUGAAAUCCAUGAGCUCAACUCAUGAACUGCAGUUGACACUGUUGGUCUUGAGUAUCGGAGAGGCAAGCGGAAUUCCUAGUGUAGCGGUGAAAUGCGUAGAUAUUAGGAGGAACACCAGUGGCGAAGGCGGCUUGCUGGACGACAACUGACGCUGAGGCGCGAAAGCGUGGGGAGCAAACAGGAUUAGAUACCCCGGUAGUCC
This 428-nucleotide ribosomal RNA is filed under the name uncultured bacterium. RNAcentral describes it as "partial 16S ribosomal RNA". It matches the Rfam family "Bacterial small subunit ribosomal RNA", at positions 354 to 796 of the family's 1533-position model. The record is from RNAcentral.